GAGAAAAUUGUCCAAAAGAAGCCGGUGGAAAAAGUGCCGGGAAGUGGGCACACGCGUGCGGCGCGUGGAGGACAGGGGCGGCGCGUGGUCGGCGCGUGGCGGCGCGUGUGGCUGUUUCCGGCAACGAAAUUUGCAGGAAAUGUGCGCCUGGCACUGUGUGUCACGAUGGUGUGGGAGGUGAGUCAAAGAAAUCCCUGAGGGAUGUCGAAACACUGUCG
RNAcentral lists this long non-coding RNA (218 nucleotides) under Nicotiana benthamiana. Its description in RNAcentral is "long non-coding RNA (NBEN_LNC034296)". The record is from RNAcentral. Lineage: Eukaryota; Viridiplantae; Streptophyta; Magnoliopsida; Solanales; Solanaceae.